Molecule: ribosomal RNA, 279 nt
Filed under: uncultured bacterium
Lineage: Bacteria
Description: partial 16S ribosomal RNA
Rfam family: Bacterial small subunit ribosomal RNA
Source: RNAcentral
UGCCAGCAGCCGCGGUAAUACGGAGGGUGCAAGCGUUGCUCGGAAUCACUGGGCGUAAAGCGUACGCAGGCGGCUUGUUAAGUCGGAUGUGAAAGCCCGGGGCUCAACCCCGGAACUGCAUUCGAAACUGGCAGGCUUGAGUACGGGAGAGGGAAGCGGAAUUCCUGGUGUAGAGGUGAAAUUCGUAGAUACCAGGAGGAACACCCGUGGCGAAAGCGGCUUCCUGGCCCGAUACUGACGCUCAUGUACGAAGGCGUGGGGAGCAAACAGGAUUAGAUA